CCCUCCGCUGAACACCAUAUAACUACCCAUGUACAGAGCACAGUGAUAGUUGGCCUCGUCCUCAGGCUGGGCCCCUGUGAUGGUGAGGAUGGCUUCGUUCCCAGAGAGGGACCCAGAGAAGUGCUCAGGGACCCCAGAAGGUCGUU
Phyllostomus discolor (pale spear-nosed bat) is the source of this 146-nucleotide long non-coding RNA. RefSeq lists it as uncharacterized. NCBI's taxonomy places the organism in Eukaryota, Metazoa, Chordata, Mammalia, Chiroptera, Phyllostomidae. The transcript has 3 exons. The record is from RefSeq and is a predicted model, not a curated record.